RNAcentral lists this ribosomal RNA (266 nucleotides) under uncultured bacterium. Its description in RNAcentral is "partial 16S ribosomal RNA". It matches the Rfam family "Bacterial small subunit ribosomal RNA", at positions 28 to 292 of the family's 1533-position model. The record is from RNAcentral.
GAUUAACGCUAGCGGCAGGCCUAAUACAUGCAAGUUGUACGGGAUUAUUGGUAGCAAUACUGAUAUGAGAGUAGCGCACGGGUGCGUAACACGUAUGCAACCUACCUUUAACUGGGGAAUAGCUCACCGAAAGGUGAAUUAACACCGCAUAAAAUCACAGAAGGACAUCCUUUAAUGAUUAAAUCUCCGGAGGUUAAAGAUGGGCAUGCGUCCGAUUAGCUAGUUGGCGGGGAAUAGCCCACCAAGGCAACGAUCAGUAGGGGGUC